AAUCAACGCUGGCGGCGUGCCUCAGACAUGCAAGUCGAACGAUUAAAGCUCUCUUCGGAGAGUGCAUAGAGUGGCGCACGGGUGAGUAACACGUAAGUAAUCUACCUUCGAGUGGGGAAUAACGUCCGGAAACGGACGCUAAUACCGCAUAAUGCAGCGGCAUCGCAAGAUGACAGUUGUUAAAGAUUUACCGCCUGAAGAGGAGCUUGCGGCAGAUUAGCUAGUUGGUAAGGUAAUGGCUUACCAAGGCUACGAUCUGUAACCGGUCUAAGAGGACGGUCGGUCACACUGACACUGAAUAACGGGUCAGACUCCUACGGGAGGCAGCAGUCGGGAAUUUUGGGCAAUGGGCGAAAGCCUGACCCAG
This 367-nucleotide ribosomal RNA is filed under the name uncultured bacterium. Its description in RNAcentral is "bacterial SSU rRNA". It matches the Rfam family "Bacterial small subunit ribosomal RNA", at positions 32 to 391 of the family's 1533-position model. The record is from RNAcentral.